This 426-nucleotide ribosomal RNA is filed under the name uncultured bacterium. RNAcentral's name for it is "partial 16S ribosomal RNA". It matches the Rfam family "Bacterial small subunit ribosomal RNA", at positions 354 to 796 of the family's 1533-position model. The record is from RNAcentral.
GUGAGGAAUUUUCCGCAAUGGGCGAAAGCCUGACGGAGCAAUGCCGCGUGAAGGAUGAAGGCCUAUGGGUUGUAAACUUCUUUUCUCAGAAAAGAAUUAUGACGGUAUCUGAGGAAUAAGCAUCGGCUAACUCUGUGCCAGCAGCCGCGGUAAGACAGAGGAUGCAAGCGUUAUCCGUAAUGAUUGGGCGUAAAGCGUCUGUAGGUUGUUUAAAAAGUAUUCUGUCAAAGAUUAGGGCUUAACCCUAGAUAGGCAGAAUAAACUUUUAAGCUAGAGUUUGGUAGAGGCAGAGGGAAUUCCCGGUGGAGCGGUGAAAUGCGUAGAUAUCGGGAGGAACACCAAAGGCGAAGGCACUCUGCUGGGCCAAUACUAACACUGAGAGACGAAAGCGAGGGGAGCAAAUGGGAUUAGAAACCCCUGUAGUCC